RNAcentral lists this ribosomal RNA (641 nucleotides) under uncultured bacterium. Its description in RNAcentral is "bacterial SSU rRNA". It matches the Rfam family "Bacterial small subunit ribosomal RNA", at positions 8 to 645 of the family's 1533-position model. The record is from RNAcentral.
AGAGUUUGAUCAUGGCUCAGAUUGAACGCUGGCGGCAGGCCUAACACAUGCAAGUCGAGCGGUAGAGAGAAGCUUGCUUCUCUUGAGAGCGGCGGACGGGUGAGUAAUGCCUAGGAAUCUGCCUAGUGGUGGGGGAUAACGUUCGGAAACGGACGCUAAUACCGCAUACGUCCUACGGGAGAAAGCGGGGGAUCUUCGGACCUCGCGCCAUUAGAUGAGCCUAGGUCGGAUUAGCUAGUUGGUGAGGUAAUGGCUCACCAAGGCGACGAUCCGUAACUGGUCUGAGAGGAUGAUCAGUCACACUGGAACUGAGACACGGUCCAGACUCCUACGGGAGGCAGCAGUGGGGAAUAUUGGACAAUGGGCGAAAGCCUGAUCCAGCCAUGCCGCGUGUGUGAAGAAGGUCUUCGGAUUGUAAAGCACUUUAAGUUGGGAGGAAGGGCAGUAACCUAAUACGUUAUUGUUUUGACGUUACCGACAGAAUAAGCACCGGCUAACUUCGUGCCAGCAGCCGCGGUAAUACGAAGGGUGCAAGCGUUAAUCGGAAUUACUGGGCGUAAAGCGCGCGUAGGUGGUUCAGUAAGUUGGAAGUGAAAUCCCGGGCUCAACCUGGGAACUGCUUUCAAAACUGCUGAGCUAGA